GCCCGGAUAGUCUAGUGGUUUAUGAUUCUCGCUUGUUAGUUUUUCCGCUCAUGGGCCUACCAUGCACAUAUAUUAACCUUCUUUAGUGGGUUGCUUUGUACCUGAAUUGCGAGAGGUCCCGCGUUCGACUCGCGGUUCGGGCC
Aspergillus terreus NIH2624 is the source of this 143-nucleotide non-coding RNA. Lineage: Eukaryota; Fungi; Ascomycota; Eurotiomycetes; Eurotiales; Aspergillaceae. The record is from the annotation of a RefSeq genome assembly.